Molecule: long non-coding RNA, 5760 nt
Filed under: Gallus gallus (chicken)
Lineage: Eukaryota; Metazoa; Chordata; Aves; Galliformes; Phasianidae
Source: RNAcentral
GCAGUAUAGAACAUGGGCAACCAGAGGCUGUCUCAUAUUCGGGACCACCAGGUAUGAUGACCACACUGAUGGGAUAUUUCUGGGGCAAAGACAACCUACCCAACUGGAAACACACGUAUAUCGAGAGUGGCUGCUCUUGUCAAAAACUACAGUGGACUGAUUUCACUUUCCAGUGGUGGAUGGAGCAUCUCAAACCUUAGACAGAAUCCCAUCUCCUCAUCCUCCCUGCACAAAACCCCAUCUCCCCAUGGGAAGCAUGCAGGACAGAUUUCUGCUCUUUGCUGAUGUCUUUGUCCUGGCAGCCCCUCAUAGCAGCCUGCAGCUUCCUCAUGGCAGCCUAUAAGCGAUAGCCUGAACCCUUUCAUUUCUUGUUAGCAAGCCAUAUUAAUCCCUAAAACAACUCCCCUCCACUUGCUCACCUUGAACUACAAGAACUCAUUUCUCAUUCAUCCACACAGCAUCAUAAACAGAGCCGCAGUGGCAUGAGGGGACAGCAGCAUGGGGGAAAAUGGCUCUCUUUAAUGAGAUGCAUCCCUGUCUUGCCACCCCUCCAUGUGCCCCACUGCCUCCCUCACCCUCUGCUAGGUCUGGAUCAGAAGCAGAGCACGUCUCCCCAUUCCUUUCCAAGAGACGGACCCCUGCAGAGGCGAGGAGAUUAACACCGCUGGGCUGUGCCAAACGGCAGGCUGAUUCCUCAAUGUGGGUCAUGUCCCAUGGGACCAGAGCCAAAAGCAAACCAGUCUGUCAUUGCAGAGUAUUUAUAGGAGGGCUGAACCUACCCCGCAGCCCCUGCACGGCCUCCCCACCCUUCUCAUCCGCUUGCUGAAUGCUUAAAUUUGAAACAGUUGUUGCAUGUUGUUUUAUGGCUGCUGGGGUAUGGCUGGCUGUCUCCCUUAUCGGUGUAAAACGGGGAGCUGUCAAGUGGGAGGGAACGCAUGAGUGGUUUGGUUGAAGUUUUUCAUUUCUUCUGUGCUUCUGAUUCCCCCCAAGCUGGCUUGGUUUGCAAGUGGAGACACCAGGAAUGGGUUGUAGUGGGAUGCUCUCGGCGUUGAUCCAGGGAGGACUUUCUGGUCCGAUGAGCCUGGACAUUGAAGUCCUCUGACAGAGAGCCAGAGAUACUUCAGGAGAAGAGAGGGCUUAUCUGGAGAAGAGGAGGCUCAGGGGAGACCUUUUAUCUCUCUACACUACAGCUACCUGAAAGAAGGUUGUGGUGAGAACAUGUCUUGAAGACAGAAACAGGGGUUAGAAGAGCAGAUUUUACUCCUGUGAUUAAGAUUUGCACCAUUUGACUUUGGGUUGUAAAGAAAAAGAAGAAAAAAUAAAACAAGGGAAAAAAAAAAGAGUAAUGCUUUACUAAUUAAGGCACAAUUGAAAGUGAUUGGUGUGCACUGGCAAGCUGCUCCUCUCAGAAAGAGCUGGACUGACAUCUCUACAAUCACUCAGUGAGUAAGCACUGCGAAAACACUGUUUGGCCUGGAAGGAGCUAAUAAGUGCAUAGAUAAAAUCUUAUUUUGAAAGCAACAACAAAGGGCAUGUGAUUUAUAUCUUAGUUGGUGACUUCAUAUGUUUUGCAGAGUUUCUCCAAAAUAUAUCGGAAUUCAUAAUUCAUUUUUAUAACGCAUUACAUUAAAAUAAUAAAUGUCAGGAAGUUUUUCAAGAGACUGAAAAUUCUGUAAGCAGUGCUGAGUGAUCAAAGGAGGAUUUUGACAGGGAGAGACUCCCGUUGACUUGGGGCUUUGGAUCAGACCUGACGCUGGCAACAAAAUGGACAACAGUUAAUAAAAGUGUGCCUGUUAGAACUUGGAUAAGUUAGAGCAGCUAAUUGCAGCAUCUCAACACAAGUUGGGGGAAGAUGCAUGCUGGCUGGAUCCUCACCGCUGCAUGUGAUGGGAUGCUGUUGCUCGUCUACAUGGCAGCAACCAUGGAUGAGCCAAGACAAAGGAAGUGAUAGAGGAGGUGGAGGAGAGAGCAGGGAUUAGAGGGCUGGAGGAAAAACAACUUUCAGGGGGAGAAACCAUUCCAAAACCUACAUUUAUGCAAGGAAAAAGACUGCUGAGUUAAAAGUAGUAUAUCAUUUCUGGACUUUUUCAUUUCCUACAUGUUGGAGGAGUUAUCUCUGUGUGUUUCCAUUCUUUUUCUUAAUGGAGGCAUAUAUGACGUGUUUCUCACUCAUUGUAGUAUUUCAUGUUUUCAUGAGUGUUAACAAAAGCAUGGGACAAAGCCAAAGAGGUAACUACCCACCAUACCCUAGUGCAGCUGUUUCACGUUUAUAAAACUCAUGUAUCACCAUGCAGAAUUGGUCAGUGUUUUGCCUGUCUGUACCUGCAGGGAUGUAUUUUGCUGCAAAAUGCCAUUCAGGUUUGUGGACCACAAAAUGGAGAUGGAGAUCCCACAACUUCAGUUGUAGAGCAACCAGAACUCAUUCUCUCCUCACACAUCUAGAGCUCCACUCCCAGCCAUCCUAGUGGCCUUGCUGGGCUUUUUUCUAACCAUGCUGGUGGCCUUGCUGGGUGUUUUCCUAGCUCCUGGUACUAGGGAGCUCAAGUCCAGUGCCCAGAUGUGAUCUCAGGGUCUGAGUAGAGGGGAAGAAUUAUAUCCCCUAGCUUGCUAGCUGCCCCUUUGCAAAUUCACCUCUGGAUGUGAUCAUCCUGUGCUGCAAGUGUGGAGACAUAGUAGUGAGGACCUCAUAGUCUACCAAGAUGCCCCUGGUCUAUCCAGAUGGUCCCAGCUUGUGCUGCCACAUGGGUUAUUCCUCCUCAUAUACUGAACUCUACAUUUCUCUGCGGUGAACUUCUUGAGAUUCCUGCUAAUCCUUCUCUCCACCUCAUUUCUUCGAAUAGCAUUGCUCCUCUGCACUGCAUCAAUCACUCCUUGUUUGUGUGUCCUCUGCAGACUUGCUGAGAGGGCAGCCUGUUCACUGCCUAAGGGCUGCUUGAGCUGCCAGGUAGCUCCACAAUGACAUCCUUUGGAAAUGUGCACCACCUCCGACUUGAUCAGCUGGGCUGUACAACCUUAAUGGUAUAGAAGAUGCAGUUUCCAUGCAGUUUCAAGUCGUCAUCCAACUUUUAGAUGCAAGAUCUAAAGGCCCAUGUGGUACUUUAAUAUCUUGAUGAUUUACAGCUGGGAUUGAGACUUUGUCCAAACUUUCACUCCAUUUGUAUAAACCUUUCAUGCUGAUUGAGAACUCUGCAAAUGAAGUCUCUGACUUUUAUUUACACUUUAUGAAAAUUGAGUUGUUCUCAAGUGACCCUACAUCUCACCUCAGAGUGGUGAAAAUUCACAGCCACGGAGCGUGGAUUCAUGCAGACUGAGGGCUCAGUUUGUAGAUCUGAAUCUACAGAUAUUCAAAGAGAUUUUUCCCAGGGGAAAACAGUCAAAUGUGGAUGAUAAAAGUGAGUGAGUAAUGUACUGAGAGCAUAUCUUCUUACUGCAUUUGCUCGGAGUGUCUGUUUAUGAUGAAUGUAAAGCAGACCCAACAGCAGAGUUCAGUUAGGGGUGUGCGUUUAUGUGCUGGGAUUUUAUGUCUAACAUGGCCUGUUAGGCUUUUUGAAAAGGAAAAACAUAAAACCUUGCCUGUUUUCUUAAAAAAAUGCAUUACUGUACUGCUCUUCGUGUUUUAAAGUACUGAUAAAAAAGAAAGAAAGAAAGAAAGAAGUUGUUUAUAUUAUUUGUAUUACCUUAAGCCCCAGGAAGAACAGACACAACUCCAUUUGCAAGCAAAUAUAGCUUGUGUUGGAUUGAAUAGCCCAAGAAGGUGUCAUUAUUCCUUUCUCAGAAUGCAUCAGCUAAACGUCUUGCUGAGGUUCACAUACAAACCCUACAGCAAAGCUGGGCCUGCGACCAGAACAGCUCCUGCCAAGAAAACAAAGACCGUAUCAGCUGGAUGGUAGGUGCCUGUGAUGUGUGAGGGAUAAGCAGAGAGCUGUGGAAAGAUUUCUGAGAAGGAACCACAUCAGUGUGCUGGGCCAGCGCUCCCUUGGUGCCUGAAACCUCCAGCUGCUGAUGUUCUGGAGUGAGAAAAUGGGCAGAGAGAUUAUUUUUGAAUUUUUGAGGGCUGGCUUUGCAUCUUGGCCCAUCUUUUUCUGGAAACGGUUAGUAGUUGUAACUGACUCCCAGAUGUGUGGCUAAAAUAAUUUGCUUUUAUUAAUAUUCAGAUAUGAGAAUCCAGAAAUAAAGUGGGGAAAGAUGUUAAGGGCAGACUAUUGCAGGUUUUCUUGCCUUUUGCCUUGAAAAUGCUUGUGCAGGCCCUAGCUGGAGGCAGGUUCCAGGAUGUAGAAUCACAGAGUCAUUAAGAUUGCAAAAGACAUCUAAGAUCACCAACUCCAACUGCUGACCCAUCCCCACCAUGCUCACUAAACCAAACCCUCAGAACAUCUCCAUGGUUGAGCCCUUCCUGGGAUGGCGACUCCACCACUUCCCUGAGCUGCCUGUUCCAAUGCAUUGCCAUCAAUGCCAUUUUGAGUUGGGAUGGUGCUUCUUAACUUUGCCUGGGCUCAAGCCUGCACUACUGGCCUGUGAACAUCUCAUCAGUUUUACUACUUCUCUCCACUGCCUUGCAAGAGUGGACAGUGCCAUAUAUCCUUUUGACUUGGUCUAGAGGGAGGUGUCCCUGCCCAUAGCAGGAAGGUUGGAACUAGAUGGUCUUAAAGAUCCCUUCCAAGCCAAACCAUUCUAUGAUUCUGAUUCUGUGACAGGAGACAGACAGGCUACAAUCACACUACAGUGACCAACUCACUGUGAUGAUUUAGAGAAACUGGUAGAGCUCCUGAAUUGCAGACUGAUUUUAUGAAAGCUCGCCAAAGUUUGCAUUUCAUGUCUCAUGGAAGCACUCCAAAGAGUGCAGAAUGGGAGCUCCAGGUGAGCUCAUGUGUCCUGGGCAGUGUGAAAGAGCAACGCUCUCCCUGGUGGACUGCACUACAGCACAUGAUCCCUUCCAGAUGAGGCAAAAUCUCCUUUGCAACAUGACAGAAAGAGCCAGCACCACAGAGGGCAUGGAGGAAGCUUCAGGGCAUACAGAUCUGAGAUGGCAGAACCAAAUAUGUCUUUCAAGGUAGCACAAAGCCAAAGGGGAGCCUUUCUCAGCUCAGACCCUCCAUACAUUCUCAUCCAAACUGCUAAGCUUUGCUAGGGGAGGUUGCAUUUCACCAGUGGAUGGGGUGGUUUCUCUGUGUCAUUUCACUUGCUGAAGACUCUUCUGACUUAGGUCUGUGAGCUGGUAUUAUUAUUAUUAUUAAUAAUAAUUUAUCGCAUAGUUCCCCUCUUAUUUUGAACAAGGUCUUUGAUCAUCUCUUUCACCUUCUCAGCCCUUGGAGCAAUUUGCCAUUUGUCAGGAAGAAAUAGGAGAUGAAGCUGCUCUUCCUCACAUUGCAAUUGUUGGGGAAUUCCAGAGAUGGAUGGGAACAGGACAGGAACUGAAAUAAAUCUCCCCCAUCCAAAGCUCUGAAUCCCACUCUCUCCUUAAUAAUAAAGAGAUUUACUUCAAGCCUUUCCCAAUAAAACCAAGUGUGUGUGUGCAUCAUAGGUUGAAGGAACAUAUAUUUGAAACCUGAAAGCAGAAUGAGAAGUAAAACCUUGUAAAUUUGCCUCAGAUAACUUGUAAUCUCAUCCUCAGCUGUCUGACCUCACUAAUUUAUUAUGUCUUGCACCAGUCACUUUUGGGAUUGGGGAUAUAUUUGUUUCCAAGCUAAGGCAAAAGGUUUUCACUGUGUUUGUGUGAAGAGAAGACCCCACGUAGAGCAGGUCCAUGGUUAUAUAUUAAAG